GAGCGCCCCGCAAGGGGAGCGGCAGACGGGAGAGUAACACGUGGGAACGUACCCUUCAGUUCGGAACAACCCAGGGAAACUUGGGCUAAUACCGGAUACGUCCGUAAGGAGAAAGAUUUAUCGCUGAAGGAUCGGCCCGCGUCUGAUUAGCUUGUUGGUGAGGUAACGGCUCACCAAGGCGACGAUCAGUAGCUGGUCUGAGAGGAUGAUCAGCCUCACUGGGACUGAGACACGGCCCAGACUCCUACGGGAGGCAGCAGUGGGGAAUAUUGGACAAUGGGCGCAAGCCUGAUCCAGCCAUGCCGCGUGGAUGAUGAAGGCCCUAGGGUUGUAAAGUCCUUUCGGCGGGGAAGAUAAUGACGGUACCCGCAGAAGAAGCCCCGGCUAACUUCGUG
RNAcentral lists this ribosomal RNA (395 nucleotides) under uncultured bacterium. RNAcentral's name for it is "bacterial SSU rRNA". It matches the Rfam family "Bacterial small subunit ribosomal RNA", at positions 64 to 507 of the family's 1533-position model. The record is from RNAcentral.